This 6342-nucleotide unclassified non-coding RNA is filed under the name Leishmania donovani. RNAcentral's name for it is "gene:LdHU3.27.3140(CDS-product:hypothetical_prote in_conserved)". Lineage: Eukaryota; Euglenozoa; Kinetoplastea; Trypanosomatida; Trypanosomatidae. The record is from RNAcentral.
GAAAGGAAGUGCUGCUCGCUGCACACGUAUGUACGCUUCGCGGCGCGUCGCCUCUCACCGCCCCACGCUUUCUCGAUUAUUAGCUGGUUUUGAAUCACUCGCAGCUCACCGCCGCCCCCCCCUCCCCUCCCUCGUUCUGCAGUGCGUCGUUGUGGGUGUGCGAGUGUGUAAGGAGUCGCGUCUUUGCGUCGCCACGACCACUCUAGCAAGAGCAUAUCUGUACACUCUUCGGAGCCUUGCCCGUUGUGCCUGUGCGCGUGUGUAGCUCAUCUUGUCUCCGCUUCCCUGGCUGUGCACGUUGCGAUAACAAUUUCUCGCUACUGUGAUGUCCGCCACGACGUCCGCGCGUCCGCCAGGGCGACGCUCUACCCAAAUGUACGGGGUGCCGUCUACUAUGACACCCGCCGAUGUCGCCAGUGCAGCAGGAGCAACAGCGGCCCCGCCCUCAGAGGCCGCCUUCCACGCUGUCCUGCCUGCUGAGGAUGGCGGCGUGUCGCCGCGCGGUCACAACCCUCCUCGGAUGCAGUACAAGUUUAUCUCUAAGCCACCGAGCCCGCAGCCCGCCUACAAUCGCAUCGCCGACGUGAGCGUGAAUGUCGCGGGCAGCAGGUCGCCGGCUGCUGCUGCUGCUGCGGCUGCUUCCACUAUGACCAUUCGUGGGCUGCGAGGGCGACUGAGCGACGGCACUGUUCACCGCAAGCCGUACCCCUUUACAGCGGCGCAGCCAAGCGCAGGAGGGCACAAGGGCACGGCGCGGCCGCUGCUGUCGCGCCACGGCCGAUGCCUCUCUCGCGCGCGCACAGGUAUGGCAGUCUCAGCCUUGACAGCGGUGUCUUCUGCCUCGGGUGCUGGAGCCGAUACGGCGACGACGGAGUCGACGCGCAUGGUGAAGGAGGCAUCGCUGCGCAAUACGUGGGCGGCAAACUUCAACAACACCGCGACUCUGCGCGAGACGGUGAGCACGAGUAACGGGGCCUACACCGCCUUCGAGGAGGAGCUCGUGCGAGAGUUGAACGAGUUACGGCGUGCGCCGGCGGCCUACGCGGCGGUUGUCGAGCGAGAGGCCACGAUCGGUGCUCCGUACGUCCAGGAGAACGAUCUUUACUUCUGCGACGAGAGCGCGGCCGAGAGCGCGGCCGUGGAGUUGCGCCGCCACCUGGAGGAGCAGUACUGCCCUGUGCAAUGCGAGGUGGCAUCCACUGCCAGCUCCGCCGUGUCGCGGGCUAUGAUGCAAGCCAUGUCGCCGAAGAAGGGUAUGCAAGCCGGUCAGGAGAAGCGCAGGAGCAAGAAGGCUCUCGACGGUCCCCCAUCAUCUCCAGCGCUGUCCACGGGUGUUGGUGCGAGCAGCACCGCGCGACGGCGCAGCGGUCGGCCAUCGCCAGCACCCCAGCGGCACACCACGGGCUCAGGGGCUCCCCACGGCGGGGGUGGGCCGUCGCCGCGGCGGUGUACGAUCUCGUCCGAUCUCCCCGGCGGUGGGGUUACGGUGGCGGGUGUGUCUGCUCUGCACGCGACCCCGGCAACGCUGCGCAAUCAAGGACUGCAUGAACUGACCCUCUCUCAGCUGCGUCAUCAGUUUCGUUGUCAGCAGCGCUACCGCGCCGCGCUGGAAGUGGCGCUGCGAGACAUGAGAGCCUCUCAGAGGCAGGCCGAAGCGGCGCAGCAGGCGGCGUGGGCCUCCGAGGCCGAGAAGGCGCUGAGGAAGGGCCGCCGCCUCAUGACGACGAACGCCUUCAACGUGAACAUGGGAGCCUCCUCGACGCCACAACAAAACAACACAGGCGAGCCGAGCGUGCCGUCGGUGGUGCCACACAGCCACAAGAAGCUGAGCCAUACCAGCACUGCCAACUCAGCGAUGCGCACAAGCGGCUCCUCGGAAGAUCCCGUUUCGCUGCGCCGCUGCGAGGACAUGGCGCAGCUGCGCAGCAUGCACGAGGCGCGCAUCCGGCACAUAAAGCAGAAGCUCCGCGACGUCCGCAACGCUUGUAAGCGCAGCCUUGCCGCCGCCAAUAUCGUGCUCGACGCGGUGCGUGCUCUGCGCGAGGCACAACCAGCGCCGCCCGUGCAACGCCACCGUGGCCUCUCGUUGGCCGCCCACGACACAGCUGUAAUGUACUACGGCGACGAGGAGCGGGUGGCGGCGCUACAGGACCUCUACGCGGUAUCGCGUGCCACGCUGGUGGGGUUGGCCGAGCACCCUGGUGCACCUACGGCACCCCUGCUGACGCUAGAGCAACUCUCGCGACGGCUGGAGCAGUGCCAAGUAGAAGAAGCGAAGCCUAAGAUCACGAGCGUCAGCAGCUCGCCCGGCCGGCGCAGUCGCUCUGAGGACGGAGAAGAGGGCGACGUGCGCGAGCGGAGCGGGACGGAGGCGGCGCCGUCGUGGGUGUUGCCGUUGCUGUCGGAGGAGGCCUCGCUUCUCGCCAACGUCGCAAAGAAUGCAUGCACGACGUACGGCUACAUAUCUGGCGAGGUGCACGGGCUCCACCUGCAGGUUGUAACCGGGAGCCCACGCUCCCUGCUGCUGCAGAUGAUCCUUGGCUUACUGACCCCUGUUCUGGACCUCUCGAACCACAGUCUACCGCAGAGCAGCGGCCAGGCAACGCAGAGGGCAUCGACACCGGCGACGGCAAAUAGUACCAACGCAACACGGUGCUACGCAGGAGUGCGCAUCGAGGGUCAUGCGUACGCGGCAGCCGGCGCACCCACCGGCACCAGAGACGCCGCGACGCGCGCAGACUUGCCGCAGUUCCAGGUGGUGUCAUCGCAGCUGGGGACGGGUGAGCGGGACCGCGCCGAUCAGGUGCCGGCGGCGAGGCUGAGCAAAGAAGAAGCGCAGCUCGCAGCUCCUGAGCACAAGAGCAGCAACAGCGGCACUGACGCCAUCACGGACGCGCCCCACGCUCAACGAGUUGCUGCUGCUGCGGCGCAGCGGCUGUGGCCUCUCCUGUGGACUGGCGCCUACACGAUUGGGUGCGCCUGGCAGCAGGUGCGUGGCUGGCGCGAUGUACCAACGUUUGCGGAGGCGUGCGAGGAGCGGCAGUCGAUACGGUGUGCAUCCUCCGGUACCCUGAGCAGCAGAGGGGCUGCGCCCCCCUUCACAGAGGAGGCACACACUGUCACUUGCACGACGCUGCUGUUUGCCUCCGGCUUUGAGGAGUACGAAGUGGUGCGUGGAUGUCAUCAUAUGAGUCCGGCAGCGACGCGACGCGUUGUGCAGAGCCCGCCAGUGACGGUGUGCGAUGGCGGCCCGCAGAGCGCCAGCCACGGCGGCAGUAUUGCGGACUCGGUCGAGGCGCGCCGUGCCGCGGUGGACGUGCACUCGACUCUGGGUGUGACACUGCUGACGCCCACCAUGCAUCCAAUGCAUAUACACGCCAGCGACCCGUCGUGCCGCGCUGUCUGCGUGGCUGUGCGUGUGCCUUACACCUCACCAGGCUUCUCCUUCACGCACAGCUCCAUGUGCGCAGGUGAGGAUGGGCGAGUGUGCAGCGGCGGCUGUCGCGAUCCCUCGAUCCGUAUUGUGGCUCAGGUGACUCGUCAGUGCGAGCUGACACCGCCACACCCAACCACGUGCACGGCUGAGGUGCUGACGCAGCGAAGUCCUGUGGACCCAUCUGUUUGGCUGGUGCUGGUUGACACAGCUGCUACCUUUCAACGCCACGCCGCUGCAUUCACGGACAACGACGGUGCCGUCUUGAAAGCAGACGCGUCCCCCGGGACGGGCGCGACGACGAUGUCUGCUGCGAGCGCUGCCGUGCCGCUUGCCCUGCACAUCUACGCAAAGGACAUGAACGACGCGAUGGGCGAGUUCGAACACGUCGCCUUUAUCCGCAUGCAGCAGUACCCACAGCCGCGCGAGGUGAAUGCCGGCGCUGUCGCCAUCGCCGCCUCUGCUACGCCUGCUACGCCUGCUACGCCCGCUCCCUAUGUGCUGAUGGAGCCGGAGUGGCGCUACCUUCUGAAUGGUCUCGCCUGCGUCGCUGCCUCGCCUCUCUCGACGCAGACGGCGACGAGGCUGACCGCUACUUCUCACACGGCGGCGCAGGCAUCUGUGCUUACGAAGGUGGCCAGCGCCACGCCGACCGCGAGGUCGGUGGGGUGGGCCACGCUGCAUGAGCCGCUGCUUGGCAGGGAUGGCGUGUUGCUCUGCCCGCUCUCUGCGGAUCUUCGGGAGUCGGAGCGGUGCGGCGACAUGCUGGAGGCGCUGCGAAUCCGUCAGGAGACGACGAUUAGUGGCAGAGACGGCAAGGCGGCUGGAGCUGCUGGGCGUGUGAUUCGUGUAGCAGUGCAGCUGCCUGCUUAUUCCAAUGUACGGUGGUGGCGUCGGCGCCUGAUGAAGCUGCGUUGCCUACAAGAAAAGCUAACGGAUGAGGUGGUGGCAGAGGGCGACGAGCAAACCGCCGCCUCGACGGCGCAGUCGCCAAGCGCUGCCUGUACACACCAAGACCGCUCACCAGAGUCGCUAGCGGAGGGAUGCCAUCUCCCCGCAACCGAAUUCGCUCCGCCGUCGGAUGAUGGGCAUGCAGACGCGAAGGCCACGCCCCUCGGUGCGAGCAAUGGGUCAGGAGAAGCUGCGACAUCAGCGGCUUCUGUGACGCCGAUCCUUGGAUCUCCGUGUUCAUCCGCGAACCCAGCAGCGAUGGAUGCGGAGGCUGGUGCGGCCGUAGAAGGCUCCUCCUCCGCUGAAGUCGCCUUGGAGCCGCCCAAGGGGAAGGGUUCAGAGAAGAAGAAGGUGAGCAGCGACGGCAAGCGCGAGGCGAAGAGGUCCCCAACCUCGGCUGCAGCAGGUAGCAGUGGAGCGAAGGCGCAGGAUAGACACUCGCCCUCCAACGUCGCUCCUUCCGGCAUGUCAAAGAAGAAAGCGCAGGCGCUGCACAAAGACAGUGACGGCGCCAUAGCGUCUUCGACAGCCGCCGCUACCGCGGCAGCUUCCACGGGAUCCUCCCUGGCACCCACGCAGGCGCGCCUUUGCACGCUGAGCGUUAACACGGCACCCAAGCUUCCCGAGAGCGGUGCGCUGCGCGAGUUCGAGAUCAUGGUGCAGCGUGCUGCAGGUGCCACACUUGUGGCAUCCCGUAGCGGCAGCGUGCAACCGUGCCUGCAGCCGUCGUUAAUCUCCAUCAUCGGCCUUCGAGAGCUCUGCGCGCAGCUGCACACCGACCUGCAGGUCUGGGAGGCGCACCUGAGGCGCGUACGGCCCAUCCUCUGUGGCGAGCGCGACCGCAUAGCGGCGGAGAUAGUGAAGAAGAAGGGGAAGGAGCAACUGCGCCUGCAGCACGACCACGAGGACGUGGUGGGCGAGCUGCAGGUGAUUGAAAGGGGCGUAGCGUCAUUAAAUCAGGCAGCCACGGCGGCCACCGACGCGCUGCGCACACGCGAGCGCACCCAGAUGCUGCGUCGCGCUCGCCUCAUGCGCAUCACUGAAGAGCUGGCCGCCAUCGAGUCCUCGCUACCGAGGUUGGCUCCGAAGGAUACGAGUGACAAGGUGGUAACUGCACCGCUACCGUCAACACCACCGCCGUCUGCAGCGCCGAAAGUGACGCUCCGUUUCUUCAAGACGGAGGGGGUGGCUGCCGGCAGCGGUUGUAAAGCGGCCUUCGCCGUCGCUCGUCCUCCGCAGCACCUGUCCUCACAGCGGGCUGGCGUGCUGGAUUGCACGAUGCGCGAGGGCGCCCCCAAGCCCUCGGAGAGGGAGGCGGGUGAGGUAACGCUGACCCCGCAGCCGUCGUCCGCCCAUGAUGCAACGUCCUCCUCAUCGCCUUUGCAACCGCUCGAAGGCGACGGUAAUAGCGCCGCUGACGUGUACGCGGCGACCUGCUCGAUACCGCUGACGUUUACCGUCUGCGCCACACUUUACAUUGACGGCGAGGUCGCUGUGACGUGGCGAGUGUGAAGUCUCCAUCGCCGCGUAGGCUGCGCUGCCCAAGACAAGUGGAUUGGUUUCUCUCCACGAAUCUGUCGAACGCCCCCACAGCGCGAGAGGGUGAGUGCGUGUCUCUGUGUGUGUGCUUGCGGCUGUCCAUCUGUGGAUCGCAGGCAUGCCGUUAUACCCGUGUACGCACGCUGUCUCUGCGCUUGUGCGUGUUCGCGUUUGCCUGCCCAUGUACUGUUAGGCGUCACCUGCUUUUUCUGGUUGCCUUUUCGGCUUGUAGUUGUUACGUGGCAAUGGACACCUGUGUGCGUGUGCUCAGCAGUCUGUCACGCACCUGCCUCGCCACCGUCUGUCUUGCAUUCUCCUGAUCUUUUUAUUCUUGGCAAACCGUGUGAGGCGAACGUGCAUUGCAUUGUUUCACCUUUUUCCUGUACUUGCUCUUCCUUCCUUCAAGGAGCAGCAGCAAC